Long non-coding RNA from Trichechus manatus latirostris (Florida manatee), 1239 nucleotides. RefSeq lists it as uncharacterized. Lineage: Eukaryota; Metazoa; Chordata; Mammalia; Sirenia; Trichechidae. The transcript has 3 exons. The record is from RefSeq and is a predicted model, not a curated record.
CAAGUGGCGGGGAGGAGUUCCUUCAGGAACUCCUGAAACCAUGCUCUGUGCCGCUCAGACAAUCCCGUCCGCAGGGCUCCACCACAGCUAGGGGCUGGGACUCGGGUGGAUGAGGUCGGAGCGCCCCAUGGUGUGGUGUUGCUUCUUUGUCCAUGCUCAGCGUAAACGGAAGCAGAGUGCCCAAGAUGAAGAUGCUGUUAGCCUUUGUAGUCUUGACAUAAGUCACUUCACCCAAUCCACUGGCUGAACCCCCAGCUUCCGGGCAUGACAGAAGGCAAACUAUUCCGGGGGAAAGAAAAGCAAUGUACAAUUUUUAAAGCAAUUUGCAGAGUGGAGACUGUCCCAGCAGCCGCCUACAAAUCUUCUCUCACGUCAGAGAAUGCGAGUGGGAUGGCUGGGCAGAGAUUGCUUCCCCCACAGCACUUUUCUACUUUACAUUCUAACUGGGAGGGAUGCCUGCCUAAAGAACCGGGCAUUCGCAAGGCCCCAGGAAAGGCCCUGGGUGGGAGAGCCAGGUGUGCAGAGGGCUGCCCCACUGGAGGGCACUGCUCAGAGACCAAACAUCCUUUCUCGAAAAACAUCACGUUCUAGGGGUGGGCAUAAAAUAGUUUCCAGUAAUAAAAAUAAUGUAAAAGAUGAAAAGGAGGAAUAUAUGUUCCUCGCAGAAAAUUUGGAAAAUGUGAGCAAUAGAUAAUUCAUCAGUAAUCCCACCUGAAUACAGUAGCUACCUUUUGAUGUGUUUGCUUCCUGUCAUUACACACCCACUCACUUUAGAACUUUUUUCUCUGUGAAAUAUUUUAGACAUACAGAAUGGUAUAAAGGAUAAUGUAAAACCCCUUGUACUACUAAUGUAACUAAAGAAAUAAGCCGUUUACAAUAGAGGCAAAGGCCCUUGCAGACCUCUUUGCUCUGCUGAGUGUGAUGUUUAUUGCUUCCUUGCCUGUCUGUAGACUGACUGUGUAUAUGUAUCCUGUGUAGCUUAUGUCAGGCACCCUGGGGAUGCAACGAUUAAGCAGUUGGCUGCUAACCCAGUGGUUGACAGUUCAAACCCACCCUGCGGCUCCAUAGGAAAAAGACCUGGCGAUCUGCUUCUGUGAAGAUUACAGCCUAGAAAACCUUAUGGGGCAGUUCUACUCUGUCACAUGGAGUCAGUCACCACGAGUCAAAAAUCGACUCCGCGGCACCUAACAACAACAUAGCAUAAUGUAUUUUUAACCAGCAUUUAAAGUUUAUAUAAGC